GUAAAAUAUUUGGAAAAUCAGAUUAGAAUCAUUAUCAAGGUAGAAAAAUCAACAGUAGAACCGUAAGCAAGUUAUAUUCACUCUCAAAAUGCUUUCUGAUUCUUCUUUAAAUAAAAGGUAUUCCAACAGACUUUAUUUCAUUACCAUGCCAAUUCUGUUCAUCCCACUAUAAAAACAGUUUCAGCCACUCACAUAUGAUUGGUUUGGUUGCGGUUAUAAGUUUGCUGCUGAUUGAAAAGGAAGACAACUAAAACAAAUUUAU
This 262-nucleotide unclassified non-coding RNA is filed under the name Hevea brasiliensis (rubber tree). The record is from RNAcentral. Lineage: Eukaryota; Viridiplantae; Streptophyta; Magnoliopsida; Malpighiales; Euphorbiaceae.